Gallus gallus (chicken) is the source of this 370-nucleotide long non-coding RNA. NCBI's taxonomy places the organism in Eukaryota, Metazoa, Chordata, Aves, Galliformes, Phasianidae. The record is from Ensembl.
CAGUGUCAAGUUGAGAACACUGGGAACAAUAAUUUCCUUCUCGCAAAGAGACGGAGGAACAAUAAAAUACUCCUAAAGCAGAUGAAAUAUAUCUAAUUCUCUGAGCAGGAAAGCUGUAUUCAAAAUAUCUGCAAUGGCAUUAAAACUCAUCAUAGAGAGGCACAGUUUUAGAAAUAAUGUUCAAAAUGAUGGUUUUCUCCAGCAAAAAGAGAAAAAGACAGCUGCAAAGAUUAUGAAGGAGAAAAGAAGACAUGAAAAAUGUAAGAUGUGGAGCAUCACUUCCCAAACUGAUAUUUUUUUCAGUAGUUCCAUCAGCUUGCGUAUUUGUUCCCAAGUAAUGACACUGAUCCAGUAUUGAUCAGGAAGAGGG